RNAcentral lists this ribosomal RNA (460 nucleotides) under uncultured bacterium. RNAcentral describes it as "partial 16S ribosomal RNA". It matches the Rfam family "Bacterial small subunit ribosomal RNA", at positions 338 to 795 of the family's 1533-position model. The record is from RNAcentral.
CCUACGGGAGACUGCAGUGAGGAAUAUUGGUCAAUGGACGAGAGUCUGAACCAGCCAAGUAGCGUGAAGGCUGACUACCCUAUGGGUUGUAAACUUCUUUUAUAUGGGAAUAAAAUGUUCCACGUGUGGGAUUUUGUAUGUCCCAUAUGAAUAAGGAUCGGCUACCUCCGUGCCAGCAGCCGCGGUAAUACGGAGGAUCCGAGCGUUAUCCGGAUUUAUUGGGUUUAAAGGGAGCGUAGGUGGAUUGUUAAGUCAGUUGUGAAAGUUUGCGGCUCAACCGUAAAAUUGCAGUUGAAACUGGCAGUCUUGAGUACAGUAGAGGUGGGCGGAAUUCGUGGUGUAGCGGUGAAAUGCUUAGAUAUCACGAAGAACUCCGAUGGCGAAGGCAGCUCACUGGACUGCAACUGACACUGAGGCUCGAAAGUGUGGGGAUCAAACAGGAUUAGAUACCCCUGUAGUC